GACAGAGGGGGCAAAUGUUGUUCGGAAUCACUGGGCGUAAAGGGAGCGUAGGCGGGUUUCUAAGUCAGGUGUUUAAUCCCGGGGCCCAACCCCGGACAGGCACUUGAAACUGGGAAUCUUGAAUAGUGGAGAGGUCAGUGGAAUUGGGGGUGUAGCGGUGGAAUGCGUAGAGAUCCCCAAGAACACCAGUUGCGAAGGCGGCUGACUGGACACAUAUUGACGCUGAGGCUCGAAAGCAUGGGGAGCAAACAGG
RNAcentral lists this ribosomal RNA (253 nucleotides) under uncultured bacterium. RNAcentral's name for it is "partial 16S ribosomal RNA". It matches the Rfam family "Bacterial small subunit ribosomal RNA", at positions 524 to 776 of the family's 1533-position model. The record is from RNAcentral.